AUUGCCCCGCAGAUGUUUACCU
Molecule: non-coding RNA, 22 nt
Filed under: Mus musculus (house mouse)
Lineage: Eukaryota; Metazoa; Chordata; Mammalia; Rodentia; Muridae
Source: RNAcentral